This 64-nucleotide transfer RNA is filed under the name Camelus bactrianus (Bactrian camel). It matches the Rfam family "tRNA". From Rfam's summary of the family: Transfer RNA (tRNA) molecules are approximately 80 nucleotides in length. Their secondary structure includes four short double-helical elements and three loops (D, anti-codon, and T loops). The record is from Rfam by way of RNAcentral. RNAcentral also lists the same sequence under 2 other names. Lineage: Eukaryota; Metazoa; Chordata; Mammalia; Artiodactyla; Camelidae.
GGAGGUAUAGCUCAGUGGUAGAGUGUAUGCUUAGCACUCCUGGGUUCAAUCACCAGUACCUCCA